Molecule: ribosomal RNA, 445 nt
Filed under: uncultured bacterium
Lineage: Bacteria
Description: bacterial SSU rRNA
Rfam family: Bacterial small subunit ribosomal RNA
Source: RNAcentral
GUGAGGAAUAUUGCGCAAUGGAGGCAACUCUGACGCAGCCAUGUCGCGUGCAGGAAGAAGGCGCUACGCGUUGUAAACUGCUUUUAACCGGGAAGAAACCCCAGGACGUGUCCUGGGUUGACGGUACCGGAGGAAUAAGCACCGGCUAACUUCGUGCCAGCAGCCGCGGUAAUACGAAGGGUGCAAGCGUUAUCCGGAUUCAUUGGGUUUAAAGGGUGCGUAGGCGGAGCGUUAAGUCAGUGGUGAAAUCCUGCAGCUUAACUGUAGACUUGCCAUUGAUACUGGCGCUCUUGAGUGCGCUUGAAGUGGGCGGAAUGUGCCGUGUAGCGGUGAAAUGCUUAGAUAUGGCACAGAACACCAAUUGCGAAGGCAGCUCACUAAGGCGAUACUGACGCUGAGGCACGAAAGCGUGGGGAUCGAACAGGAUUAGAUACCCUGGUAGUCC